AUGAGUCGUCAUGAUGGCAUCAACAUCCCCGAUGGCAAGUUCUACCUAGGAGAUGCUGGCUAUGCAUGUCGGCCAGGUGUUCUACCACCCUUCAAGAAAACCAGGUACCAUCUAAAUAAGUUCUCUGGUAGAAACUAUCUUAGGACUCCUCAGGAACUGUUCAAUCUCAGAUACUCCAGCCUCAGAGUUAUUGUUAAGAGGGCCUUUGGAGCUUUGAAGAACAGGUUUAAGAUCCUGGAUCGGAAGCUAUUCCACCCUUACCCUACCCAGGUCAAGCUUGUUCUUGCGUGUUGCAUUAUACACAACUGGAUCCUGCAAUGGGGAAUUGAUGAACUUGUGCCGGAGGAGGAAGAUGUGACUCCUGAUGAGGUGAUCAGCUCCGGCCAUGGUGUGGAGGCGUUCGACAAUGAAGCAUGGAAGAACAAAAGGUUGGAGUGGGCUCAAACAAUG
RNAcentral lists this ribosomal RNA (450 nucleotides) under Triticum aestivum (bread wheat). RNAcentral's name for it is "partial small subunit ribosomal RNA". Lineage: Eukaryota; Viridiplantae; Streptophyta; Magnoliopsida; Poales; Poaceae. The record is from RNAcentral.